AGUAACGCGUGAGUAACCUGCCUUACACAAGGGGAUAGCCUUUGGAAACGAAGAAUAAUACCCUAUAAAACCAUAAAAGCACAUGCUAGAAUGGUCAAAGUGAUAGCGGUGUAAGAUGGACUUGCGUCUGAUUAGCUAGUUGGUGAGAUAAAAGCUCACCAAGGCAACGAUCAGUAGCCGGCUUGAGAGAGUGUACGGCCACAUUGGGACCUGAGACACGGCCCAG
RNAcentral lists this ribosomal RNA (226 nucleotides) under uncultured Eubacteriales bacterium. RNAcentral's name for it is "uncultured Clostridiales bacterium partial 16S ribosomal RNA". It matches the Rfam family "Bacterial small subunit ribosomal RNA", at positions 109 to 334 of the family's 1533-position model. Lineage: Bacteria; Bacillati; Bacillota; Clostridia; Eubacteriales. The record is from RNAcentral.